Molecule: long non-coding RNA, 230 nt
Filed under: Gallus gallus (chicken)
Lineage: Eukaryota; Metazoa; Chordata; Aves; Galliformes; Phasianidae
Source: RNAcentral
GCAACUUUUGCAUGGCCACAAUGCAAAUGACAGAGAGUUAUGGUAUGUUAACGCACUGGGCUUUCCUUUCCUGCAGUUAUCUGUGUAGGAAGCCCAAUGUAUGUAGAAAGGAGAAGAAUUCUUAGAGUGGACAUACAAUGAAAACCAGGACUGCUGCUGCAAGAACCCAUUUUUUAUCUACACCCUGAUGAAAGCCAAAGCAGGAAGACGAACCCCAAAGGGGGCUGCUG